RNAcentral lists this ribosomal RNA (16 nucleotides) under uncultured fungus. RNAcentral's name for it is "partial 18S ribosomal RNA". The record is from RNAcentral. Lineage: Eukaryota; Fungi.
CUGCGGAGGGUCAUUA